This 495-nucleotide ribosomal RNA is filed under the name uncultured bacterium. Its description in RNAcentral is "partial 16S ribosomal RNA". It matches the Rfam family "Bacterial small subunit ribosomal RNA", at positions 28 to 507 of the family's 1533-position model. The record is from RNAcentral.
GACGAACGCUGGCGGCGUGCCUAAUACAUGCAAGUAGAACGCUGAAGGAGGAGCUUGCUCUUCUGGAUGAGUUGCGAACGGGUGAGUAACGCGUAGGUAACCUGCCUGGUAGCGGGGGAUAACUAUUGGAAACGAUAGCUAAUACCGCAUAAUAGUAGAUGUUGCAUGAUAUUUACUUAAAAGGUGCAAUUGCACCACUACCAGAUGGACCUGCGUUGUAUUAGCUAGUUGGUGGGGUAGCGGCUCACCAAGGCGACGAUACAUAGCCGACCUGAGAGGGUGAUCGGCCACACUGGGACUGAGACACGGCCCAGACUCCUACGGGAGGCAGCAGUAGGGAAUCUUCGGCAAUGGACGAAAGUCUGACCGAGCAACGCCGCGUGAGUGAAGAAGGUUUUCGGAUCGUAAAGCUCUGUUGUAAGAGAAGAACGAGUGUGAGAGUGGAAAGUUCACACUGUGACGGUAUCUUACCAGAAAGGGACGGCUAACUACGUG